UGAUGAUGGAAGAUGGGGGUGACCCUACUGU
RNAcentral lists this non-coding RNA (31 nucleotides) under Homo sapiens (human). Lineage: Eukaryota; Metazoa; Chordata; Mammalia; Primates; Hominidae. The record is from RNAcentral.